Molecule: transfer RNA, 84 nt
Filed under: Agathobacter rectalis
Lineage: Bacteria; Bacillati; Bacillota; Clostridia; Lachnospirales; Lachnospiraceae
Also listed under: 1 other name
Description: tRNA-Ser
Rfam family: tRNA
About the family: Transfer RNA (tRNA) molecules are approximately 80 nucleotides in length. Their secondary structure includes four short double-helical elements and three loops (D, anti-codon, and T loops). Further hydrogen bonds mediate the characteristic L-shaped molecular structure. tRNAs have two regions of fundamental functional importance: the anti-codon, which is responsible for specific mRNA codon recognition, and the 3' end, to which the tRNAs corresponding amino acid is attached (by aminoacyl-tRNA synthetases). tRNAs cope with the degeneracy of the genetic code in two manners: having more than one tRNA (with a specific anti-codon) for a particular amino acid; and 'wobble' base-pairing, i.e. permitting non-standard base-pairing at the 3rd anti-codon position.
Source: RNAcentral
GGAGUGUUGGCUCAAUUGGUACAGCAGCAGUCUUGAAAACUGCCAUUCCGAAAGGAUAUUAGGGUUCAAAUCCCUAACACUCCG